This 97-nucleotide transfer RNA is filed under the name Gemmatimonadaceae bacterium. RNAcentral describes it as "tRNA-Sec". It matches the Rfam family "Selenocysteine transfer RNA". Lineage: Bacteria; Pseudomonadati; Gemmatimonadota; Gemmatimonadia; Gemmatimonadales; Gemmatimonadaceae. The record is from RNAcentral.
GGGGGUGGAUGGGGCCUGGUGGCUUCCCCAGUCUUCAAAACUGGUGUGACCCGACUUCGUCGGGCCGGGUGGGUUCGAUUCCCACACUCUCCCGCCA